AGUGAACGCUGGCGGUAGGCCUAACACAUGCAAGUCGAACGGCAGCACAGUAAGAGCUUGCUCUUACGGGUGGCGAGUGGCGGACGGGUGAGGAAUACAUCGGAAUCUACUUUUUCGUGGGGGAUAACGUAGGGAAACUUACGCUAAUACCGCAUACGACCUACGGGUGAAAGCAGGGGAUCUUCGGACCUUGCGCGAUUGUAUGAGCCGAUUUCGGAUUAGCUAGUUGGCGGGGUAAAGGCCCACCAAGGCGACGAUCCGUAGCUGGUCUGAGAGGAUGAUCAGCCACACUGGAACUGAGACACGGUCCAGACUCCUACGGGAGGCAGCAGUGGGGAAUAUUGGACAAAGGGCGCAAGCCUGAUCCAGCCAUACCGCGUGGGUGAAGAAGGCCUUCGGGUUGUAAAGCCCUUUUGUUGGGAAAGAAAAGCAGCAGGUUAAUACCCCGCUGUUCUGACGGUACCCAAAGAAUAAGCACCGGCUAACUUCGUG
RNAcentral lists this ribosomal RNA (492 nucleotides) under uncultured bacterium. RNAcentral's name for it is "partial 16S ribosomal RNA". It matches the Rfam family "Bacterial small subunit ribosomal RNA", at positions 29 to 507 of the family's 1533-position model. The record is from RNAcentral.